Solanum dulcamara is the source of this 980-nucleotide long non-coding RNA. RefSeq lists it as uncharacterized. The record is from RefSeq and is a predicted model, not a curated record. NCBI's taxonomy places the organism in Eukaryota, Viridiplantae, Streptophyta, Magnoliopsida, Solanales, Solanaceae. The transcript is spliced from 3 exons.
AGCCUCAGUCCUCGAAGGAGCCCUUCUCCACGUAGAACAACCCCUUCUAGGGAUGCUAGUCCGGAUGGACGUAAUCACAAUGACCGGUCUCCAACUCCAAAGAGUAUCUCCCCGCGGGGUAGAUGUGCUGGCUCUCGCAGCCCCUUGCCACGUUCUGAUGCUGAUGAUUAAGGAGCAAGGGAGGAGGCCACGGUUGUAAUCUGGCUCUGGUCGAUGCUGCGUAUCAGGACAUUCCCAAGUGACUGAUCCUUCCAUCUGUAUUCUGCUUGCUAGAACUGGUUGGCCAGACUUAUUUAUAAGUUGGGUCCAUGAAAAGUCAAUGUGGCUGAAUCACUAGACGAUGCAGCAGCUGUUGAUGCUGUUAUAUUUGCUGUUGGUUGUAAUAUUGUUGCCGUUCACAAAAUAGUAUUUCUUCGCUGAAUGGCAAGGAGAUGCAGCAGUUGUAGAUGCUGUUUUAACUUGGCUGCUUAUAAUUUGUUGCUGGUGACAUACUACUGUUUGUUGGUUGAAUGCAAGCAGAUGCAGCAGCUGUUGGUGCUGUUUUAGCUUUGCUGUUGUAUUUUUGUUGCUGGUGACAAAUUACAUUUUCUAUACAAAUGUUCAGGAUGGUCAUGAUCGGUAAGGAUAAGAAACUUCUGAAUUACUGAAUUAACACUAGGUUUAUGCCUUUGGCCUGACAGUCAUUUCGUUUUUCUGUCUUAACUUCAUAAUCUGCUCUGAGGAGGUGUUAACUGUGAUCAUCUUAAAGAUGAAAGGAAUCCACAUGUCUAAGUGUAGCAGUUGAAGUUGAUUCCAGGUCGAGAUUUGUUAUACCGAGUAGAGAUUUCAAUAUCAGACCAAAUCAAUGAGUUCAUGGGUAGUAGUUGUUUCAUCAUAAACAUCUUGCUGACUUAAUUUUUUAUUUAUCUUAAAAAGGAUAAAUAAUUAUUGAAUUUCCCUAUCUGUAAAUACUUUGUUCCAGUGUCUUUAUUUGCUUUAUG